This 301-nucleotide ribosomal RNA is filed under the name uncultured bacterium. Its description in RNAcentral is "partial 16S ribosomal RNA". It matches the Rfam family "Bacterial small subunit ribosomal RNA", at positions 509 to 807 of the family's 1533-position model. The record is from RNAcentral.
CAGUCGCCACGGUAAUACGAAGGGUGCAAGCGUUAAUCGGAAUUACUGGGCGUAAAGCGCGCGUAGGUGGUUUGGUAAGAUGGAUGUGAAAUCCCCGGGCUCAACCUGGGAACUGCAUCCAUAACUGCCUGACUAGAGUAUGGUAGAGGGUGGUGGAAUUUCCUGUGUAGCGGUGAAAUGCGUAGAUAUAGGAAGGAACACCAGUGGCGAAGGCGACCACCUGGACUGAUACUGACACUGAGGUGCGAAAGCGUGGGGAGCAAACAGGAUUAGAUACCCCCGUAGUCCCUGUCUCUUAUAC